This 6302-nucleotide long non-coding RNA is filed under the name Homo sapiens (human). Its description in RNAcentral is "HSALNT0100702". Lineage: Eukaryota; Metazoa; Chordata; Mammalia; Primates; Hominidae. The record is from RNAcentral.
GGCAGGGACUCGCUGGACUGUGAGGAGAAGCAGUGUGUCCUCACCUUUCCACCUUCCUCUGGCCACAGCUUUAGCUGCUGAAUGAUAACAAGGCUGCCUGCCGAUCUCAUAAGAGGGCAUCUUGGGCAAGGCAAGGAGAAAGGGCUUUGGAGUCUUGAGUUCAAAUCCCGGCUCCCCCAGCUGCUGUGCAACCGUGAUGUAUGACAGCCUCUCUGGGCCUCAGUGUUUGUAUCUGCAAGAUGAGGCUCUGACAUAGACCUGAUUAGGUUAUGGUGAGGAUUACACAAUCCCUGCUUGAAAGGCACCUGGCUUGUUCUGAGUAAACCCUGUGACUCCCUUUAAUUCCUGGUGGGUGGCUUGCUUGUGCCCUCAUGAGGUUCAGCACUUGGCAGUACCCUGUCACCUGUUCAUCAUUAGCAAUGACGGACGCAAUGCUUCCUCUGUGACAAAGCCUCAUCCGACAGAGCAGGACUGCAGGGCUUCUCCAGGGCUUGGGGAGGGGGACAAGGGCAGUGCGCACAGUUCCUUUUUGUUUGCUGAUGCCACACUAGGCACGUGAAAGGGCUGGGUCAGAGAACCCAGCUUGGCCCACGCUGUCUCGGUUGGUGGCCGUCCUCACCUUCCUCACCCUUCAGAUCCCGUAGGGAGCCCCUGCGGUGGUGCCAUGGACGGGAAGCAUCCCACCGUGCUUGUGGCUCACCUCGAGGUCCAGGUGUCACUGCAUGGCCUGAAAAGGACUGUCUCCGAGCAGAACAAGCUCAUGACCAAGAACAAAGAGGACAUCUUGACCGUGUAAGUAAUGAUGACCGCUCUGUCCCCAGCUCAUAGGGACCCUGAGGACUCCAGGUUGCCUCCCUAUGUUGGCUCCUGAUUCAAGCAGAUGGCAGGGGGGUGUGUCCCAAGGAGCUGGGUGCUGAUGUCAGGAGCCCAGCACCCUUGUGGAAGCCAAGAACGACACUGAGGGGGCAAGAAGAGACUGUGAUGAGCUAAGUGAUGGUGUUGUCCCCAGCACGCAACAAGGGCUGGUGCGGCAACUGGCGACCUGAGAGGGAGGGCUGGUCCCAGCAGGGAGGUGUUCAUAGAAGGGAGAGAUUUUCGGUGAGGAGUGGCAGCACAGUCAUUCUCAACCCAGUGUGUCUUGGGAGAUGCCUAUGGGGUGGAAGUUGGAUGAUCAGGCUGUUAUUGGGUCAAUCUGAUUCAAGGAGAGGGAGGAGAGGUGACGUGGCCAGAAGGAGGGCAGGAGGGUGGACAGCAGAGAAUGCAGCCGGCCACCCGGGCCAUCCCCCUUGCCUCCACUCACUCAUCCUUUCCCACCCCUGGGCCGAGGAUGCGUCUCAUUAGGUAGUUUUCAGAUGGGUAAACUGAGGCAGGAGCCAUUCCAGGCCCAGAGAGGAGAGCCAGGAAGGCACGUGUUGUAAUCCCUGGGUUAGUUUUUCAUUCACACACAGGGGAACCUCUCCAGCCCUGCCACUCACUAGUUUUAAGAGGCUCAAGUGUUCUGAUUCCUGGCAGCAGCAACGUGGUAAUGCUUCUUUCUUGUUCCCUCCCUGAUCCCUUCUUCCCUCAUGCUUGAGGGCUUGGCCCCGCUUUUCUCCAUGUAUUUCCACCAGGGUGCCACACUGCCUGGAAUUGCAACCGCUGGGGCCUUGUCCAGUUUAUUAUCUCUCACCACAGGUGCAGGAAGGAGGCAGGGAGCAGGGCUGUGUCGCAGAGCAAGGCCAGGGCAUCCCACCCCACCAUGGCCGCCCAUCCCCAUGGCCUCCCUCAAGAUCAGGAAACUGCUCCACAUUGCAGUAACUAAGUGCACCAGGCGUGGCUGCUGGUGAGGGGUGGUCAGGCAGCACCUGUGGCCAGCCUAAAGGAAGGUCAAGGUUUGUGAAGGCAUCUGGUGCCUCCCCUGUUGAAAUUUCUUUUUCUCCUCCUUAUUAGUUGAAUCUUAAGAAUUGACAGUACCAUAAAACGUGAAACCUUUAUUUCUGCUUUUUAAAUGGAAAACCGGGCUGGGCACAGCGGCUCAUGCCUAUAAUCCCAGCACUUUGGGAGGCUGAGGUGGGCAGAUCGGCUGAGGUCAGGAGUUCAAGAUCAGCCUGGCCAACAUGGUGAAACCCCAUCUCUACUAAAAAUACAAAAAUUAGCCAGGCAUGGUGGCACAUGCCUGUAACCCCAGCUACUCAGGAGGCUGAGGCAGGAGAAUCGCUUAAACCCAGGAGGCGGAGGUUGCAGUGAGACGAGAUUGCGCCAUUGCACUCCAGCCUGGGUGGCAGAGUGAGACUCCACCUCAAAAAAAAGAAAAAAGGAAAACCAAGCAAAAGUCACUGUCAGGGGACCUCCCACCCACCAUACAGGGGAACACUCGGCAGAGCCAGAGGCCUGGGCCCAAGUCCUGCCACCAGCUGGCUGUGAAACUGUGGUACAGCACCUUGUGUCCUGCCACCAGCCGGCUGUGAAACUGGUACAGCACCUUGUCCUCAGGUCCUUGGUUUCCUCACUUGUAAAUUCAUGGUUCUCCAUGGCAUCUCUGGUCUUCAACAUUAUUUUGCAUAGAGUCUCAGAAGCUUUAGUGUGAGCGGAUGAUAUGGGCACGAAGCAAGGCACCCAGAAGUGGGGGCAACUACUCUGCUUUCUAAAAUGCAAGGGAACCGGAAAAUCCAGGAGCCGUGCCAAAUGAGAAGAGGAACAAAUGGAGGAACAUCCCAGUCAAGUGACAUUCCUAGUGACAUUCACCAGAACAGAGUCAAGCUUUGGAUCCCAUGUUCUGUGACUUCCUCUUCACCACGCUUCCUCCACACACGUAGCAGCUCAAGGGUUUCUGAUGAGUGGGAGGCUUGACUAGAAUUGAAUUCGAGACAAGCACAAAGAUCAUGAUGCAAAUGAAAGGGACAGAGGGGAGAGAAACAGAAAACAAGUGAGUCAAAUUUGGUCUAUGUUCCCUUUAUGAGCUGUAACGCACACCAUGAAGGUCUGCGGCUUGGCUAUUGAGUCAGUGAGAGCGUGAACCUACUAUUAGAAGAAAAACUCUGAAUACGUCUGAACGUCAGAAAGAACGAAGUUUGGACACAUUGUCUUUAAGAACUGUAACACUCACCCCAAGGGUUUAUGGAUUCAUUCUUGAAAUCAGUGAAACCAAAAGCUUUCCAAAGUUUAACACACAGGGAAAUGACUUACUGCAAAGAACCACUCUUCCCCACGAGACUUCGAGAAGACCCGCUGUCACGGACUGAGUUGUGUCCUCUUAAAAUUCAGAUGUUGGAGUCCAAACCCCCAGUAACUCAGAGUGUGAACGUAUUUGAAGAGGUCUUUAAAGAGGUGAUGAAGGUCUUUGUCUCUGACAAUUUGCCUCUGUGACGUGGAUGGGACUGGAAGUCCAUUUGGAGCCCUGUCUUCUCCACCUAGGGAGAGAGACCCCAUGAGCUCGUCAAGCUCCUUCUGUGACUGAUCAGAGAUCCCACCGUGAGUCCAGCUCCUGGUCCCAUGCUCUGGAUAUAUCGGUCCCUGGCAGCGUGAGUGCCUCUGUGUUCACUGUCCCAUUUGAGAAUUCUAAGUAGAAUUCUGAACAGGCUGGAGCAGAUUGCCCACCCCAAGGGACAGAUGUUGGCUGGUACUGUUGGUAUUCAUGGAAGAUUCCUUCUGACACUCCCUCCUUCUUUGUAAUUGCCAUGAACUGGAGCACUGGGCCAAUAUAAAUCAUCCAAGGGUGAACACGCUGCACAUGGACGGCUCCUCUUUGUUUUUGAAGGGAUUCCAUCUCUAUUUUGCCAUGUGCUCCUUCACCCCACUCCCCACCCCCGUCUUUCAUUUCUUUCUCUGGAAAAGAUACUUCAACUCACAGGACUGCGAUGUUGAAACGGACACCCAAGAGCAUCACAGAUGGGCCAGGCCUGGACCUCUCGGGACAACAUUCCUCACGACUUUUAGAUAGAAGAGAUUAGAGAUUUGGGACUGGUGGCAACUGGUAACGUUUUCAGUGUUUGGUAAACAGCCAGGGUCCGGAGCUCUGGGAACAGCCUGAUUUAGCUCUUUGUUUAAGUUUUGUGUUAGAGGCUCCCAAGAAGCUGAUGCAGGGGAAAGAAAUUAACAACCAUGGCUCAUUCACAGCCAGGCAGCCAAAUGGACAGCUCUAUAAGACUCAAGCCGACAGCGGAGAGAGUGCAACCAAACAGCCUUGGCCCAGCUUUCAGAGGAGAACGUUAUUCACCCCAACUGCUCUGCAUCUGCCUGGAUGUCUGCCAAGAUCUGUGAGCAUUACAGCGUUGGUAUGCUUUGGGUGAGGCCUGUGGCUAUGGCAACAAGUUGGGAGCAACCCGGUCCCUGGGAAUGAGAACAGUGUCUAAAAUCAGGCAGGCGAGGGGCAGGGAGGAGAGGUAAAGGUUGGACUUGCCUGAAGAUGGAGCCGUUUUAUUGUUGUGGGUAAAGCUGCUACCAUUAGGGGCUGUUUACAGAGUGGGUGCAGCUCAAGCUGGGAGCAUGUUAGACUCAGCGACUACGAUCAACCUAUUGACUUGUUCCCAUGAGACAGAGUAAAUUAACUGUUGCAGUACUGGUCAUGUACCACCAACCUCCUGUGAACCAGCCCUCAGUGAAACAUUUAUGUGAAAGGCCAUGGUGUUCCCAUAAGAGGGUGCAUGUUCUCUCCCUUGACUAACUCUUCAGUAUGCCUCAUUCUCACGCGCUGGUGUGCAGGAAGGAGUCCAACAUGCCCCAUUGACAGUCAUGCCCUGUAUGUGGAAAGUCUUCAGGUAGAGCACUGGGCUCAGGUUUGAAGAUGUGAGUUCUAAUCCUAGCAAGGCCAUUACCUCCCAGUGACCUCAUGUCUCGAUUUCCUCAACCACAAAACAAAGGCAUUGGUGAGCUGACCUCUAAGGCCUCUCCAGUUCUCACCUUCUGUGUCUCUACAGACUGGAGACUAGAAGAUUAUGGGCACUUUUAUUGAGUCUUCAUUUUGUUUCCAUUUCUUUGUAGUCAUCAGCUGGAGUUGAGGACAAGUUUUAACAAUAGAUAGGUUUCUUUUUGUCUCUUUUUAAAAAAUUUUAUUUAAAAUAAAUGCCAAGUGUAGUGGCUCAUACCUGUAAUCCCAGCACUUUGGGGAGGCCAAGGUGGGAGGAUUGCUUUUGAGUUUGAGACCAGCCUGGGCAACGUGGUGAGACCCUGUUUGUACAAAAAAUUUUAAAUUAGCCAGGCAUGGUGGCGUGUGCCUAUAGUCCUAGCUACUCUGGAGGUAGAGGCAGGAGGAUCCCUUGAACCUGGGAGGUUGAGGCCACAGUGAGCUGUGAUUGUGCUAUUGAACUCUAGCCUGGGCAACAGAGCAAGACCCUGUCUCUUAAAAAAGACUAUUUUUUAAGAACACUUUUAGGUUCACAGCGAAAUUUGGAGGAAACUUGGCAUAUGUCAUAUGCCCCCUGCUCCCAUGCAUGCACAGCCUCUACCAUUAGCAAUGUCCCCACUCAAAUGGUACCUUUGUUGUAAUCAACAACCCUGUACUGACACAUCAUCAUCACCCAAACUCCAUAGUUCACAUUAGGUUUCACUCUUGGUGUGGUGUACAUUCCAUGGGCUUGAACAACUGUAUAAUGACAUUAUCCACCACUGCAGGAUCAUACAGAGUAGUCUCACUGCCCUAAAACUACUCUGUGCUCCACCUGUUUGUCCCUUCUUUCACUCUAAACUCCUGGCAACAACUGACCUUUUUACUGCCUCGAUAGCUUUGCCUUCUUCGGAAUGUCAUGUAGUUGAAAUCAUACAUCAUGAAGCCUUUUCAGAUUGGCUUCAUAUAGGUUUCCUUCCUUCCUUCCUCCCACCACCUUCCUUUCUUUCUGUAUUCCUAACUCUUGGAUGUAUUUUCCCCAGCAUCAUGACUUGAUGGGACUUUUGCUAAGAUAGGCAAUCAUAGAAAGUCAUAAAUCUCUUGUCAGCCUUAUUGGCUCACCUCCGAGAUGGUUCCAACACUCUUUAAGGCCCACUUUUCCAAUCCACAGAUUCCCCAGCAGAAGUCCAAGCUGCUGAGCCUCACAUCAUCUUUUGCACUAGUAAUCUUUACCACUACUUCACUGUAGCAUUUGAAAAUUUUCAUAUGAAGCCAUAGUUCUGUGUCUUUUUUUUUUUUUUUUUUUUUUUGGAGACGGAGUCUUAACCUGUUGCCCAGGCUGGAGUGCAGUGGCACAGUCUUAGCUCACUGCAAGCUCCGCCUCACGGGUUCAAGUGAUUCUUGCCUCAGCCUCCCAAGUAGCUGGGAUUACAGGCGCGCCACCAUGCCCAGCUAAAUUUGUUGGCAUUUUUAGUAGAGAUGGGGUUUCACCAUGUUGGCC